ACACUCCUACGGGAGGCAGCAGUGGGGAAUUUUGGACAAUGGGCGAAAGCCGGAUCCAGCAAUGCCGCGUGAGUGAAGAAGGCCUUCGGGUUGUAAAGCUCUUUUGUCAGGGAAGAAACGGUGAAAGCUAAUAUCUUUUGCUAAUGACGGUACCUGAAGAAUAAGCACCGGCUAACUACGUGCCAGCAGCCGCGGUAAUACGUAGGGUGCAAGCGUUAAUCGGAAUUACUGGGCGUAAAGCGUGCGCAGGCGGUUUUGUAAGUCUGAGGUGAAAUCCCCGGGCUCAACCUGGGAAUUGCAUUGGAGACUGCAAGGCUAGAAUCUGGCAGAGGGGGGUAGAAUUCCACGUGUAGCAGUGAAAUGCGUAGAUAUGUGGAGGAACACCGAUGGCGAAGGCAGCCCCCUGGGUCAAGAUUGACGCUCAUGCACGAAAGCGUGGGGAGCGAACAGGAUUAGAUACCCGUGUAGUCCCAUG
RNAcentral lists this ribosomal RNA (475 nucleotides) under uncultured organism. RNAcentral's name for it is "partial 16S ribosomal RNA". It matches the Rfam family "Bacterial small subunit ribosomal RNA", at positions 333 to 799 of the family's 1533-position model. The record is from RNAcentral.